UUCUGACUGUUACUUGCUAUAGGUGCUCGAUUUAUUAUUUGGUGGUAUUCAUAGAAGCAAGUGAGUUGUUCAUCGAAACAAUUUCCAUUUUUGUCAAGACCUUUUACAAAUUGUUUUAUAAGUCCUAAUUUUAUAUGUAAUGGAGGCAAAAUUAUACGAUCCCUUGAUACUAAAGGUGGGUUUAUCACGUUCUGUUGUCCUGGAACUAGCGCUUCCCGAGGAGGCUCACCAAGCAAAAAUAACAGUCAUCGUGGUGGUUCACGGGUUCUUUCCAGAUCAUAGUGGUUUCGUACUAAAUCUAUUGCUUUUCUUAUUUGUCCACAAACGUAGAAACUCAACACACGUUUUGCAUACCUUUUGUGGAAUCCAAGGCUUAUUUUUCAUUUCCAGCGGGUGACCAAAGUAAUUUUUGUAAGCCUCAAUUAUGAACGUAGUCACAUUCAAACGGUAUUCUUUAAACAUAUACUUUCCACAAAUGAAACAAAAAUGAUUCGGAUCAUUCACACAAACUCGUCUUGACGAUGCCAUAUCAAAUUAUAUUAAGAAAACUUAAUAAAUUAUAAAAUAUCAGCAAAUUAACACGGUAAUACGUCAAUUUUUUUGUGAAAGCUAUAACUUGUAAACAAGAGCUGUUACAAAAAAACGAGGGUAUAUCUAGAAUCAGCGACGUCAAAUUAGUAAACAUCAUGUGAUAAAAGUCAUUCAUCAGACAAAAGUUGCAAUUUUGUUUUGCGGUGUUAUUAAUGUUUUUAUUAUGGACUUGUUAGAUGAAAAUUUGCAAUCUGAAAAUUGCUUUCACAUUAAUUUCAAUGUAAAAAUUUCCAGUCUCUUGGGUAUCAGGAAGCU
This 846-nucleotide long non-coding RNA is filed under the name Androctonus crassicauda. Lineage: Eukaryota; Metazoa; Arthropoda; Arachnida; Scorpiones; Buthidae. The record is from RNAcentral.